GGAAGGCCUAUCAAUCACAGGUGCACGCCUGUGCCUACUCGCUACCACGCGUCUUCUGGGAGGAAGUGAAUGAGCCGGUUAUCUUCUCAGGGAGGGUUAGUGCUGGCCACUGUGCACUGCCGCUGCCAGCACGCCCGGUCACAGCCAGUGUCUAUGGGCGACUGGCGCGGCUGCGAGGCUGUCUAGAGGACUCCUACCCUUCUGCUCUGAGUGCGCAA
RNAcentral lists this long non-coding RNA (218 nucleotides) under Homo sapiens (human). Its description in RNAcentral is "HSALNT0395304". The record is from RNAcentral. Lineage: Eukaryota; Metazoa; Chordata; Mammalia; Primates; Hominidae.